Molecule: ribosomal RNA, 2802 nt
Filed under: Escherichia coli
Lineage: Bacteria; Pseudomonadati; Pseudomonadota; Gammaproteobacteria; Enterobacterales; Enterobacteriaceae
Description: bacterial LSU rRNA
Rfam family: Bacterial large subunit ribosomal RNA
Source: RNAcentral
GGGUUGUGAGGUUAAGCGACUAAGCGUACACGGUGGAUGCCCUGGCAGUCAGAGGCGAUGAAGGACGUGCUAAUCUGCGAUAAGCGUCGGUAAGGUGAUAUGAACCGUUAUAACCGGCGAUUUCCGAAUGGGGAAACCCAGUGUGUUUCGACACACUAUCAUUAACUGAAUCCAUAGGUUAAUGAGGCGAACCGGGGGAACUGAAACAUCUAAGUACCCCGAGGAAAAGAAAUCAACCGAGAUUCCCCCAGUAGCGGCGAGCGAACGGGGAGCAGCCCAGAGCCUGAAUCAGUGUGUGUGUUAGUGGAAGCGUCUGGAAAGGCGCGCGAUACAGGGUGACAGCCCCGUACACAAAAAUGCACAUGCUGUGAGCUCGAUGAGUAGGGCGGGACACGUGGUAUCCUGUCUGAAUAUGGGGGGACCAUCCUCCAAGGCUAAAUACUCCUGACUGACCGAUAGUGAACCAGUACCGUGAGGGAAAGGCGAAAAGAACCCCGGCGAGGGGAGUGAAAAAGAACCUGAAACCGUGUACGUACAAGCAGUGGGAGCACGCUUCGGCGUGUGACUGCGUACCUUUUGUAUAAUGGGUCAGCGACUUAUAUUCUGUAGCAAGGUUAACCGAAUAGGGGAGCCGAAGGGAAACCGAGUCUUAACUGGGCGUUAAGUUGCAGGGUAUAGACCCGAAACCCGGUGAUCUAGCCAUGGGCAGGUUGAAGGUUGGGUAACACUAACUGGAGGACCGAACCGACUAAUGUUGAAAAAUUAGCGGAUGACUUGUGGCUGGGGGUGAAAGGCCAAUCAAACCGGGAGAUAGCUGGUUCUCCCCGAAAGCUAUUUAGGUAGCGCCUCGUGAAUUCAUCUCCGGGGGUAGAGCACUGUUUCGGCAAGGGGGUCAUCCCGACUUACCAACCCGAUGCAAACUGCGAAUACCGGAGAAUGUUAUCACGGGAGACACACGGCGGGUGCUAACGUCCGUCGUGAAGAGGGAAACAACCCAGACCGCCAGCUAAGGUCCCAAAGUCAUGGUUAAGUGGGAAACGAUGUGGGAAGGCCCAGACAGCCAGGAUGUUGGCUUAGAAGCAGCCAUCAUUUAAAGAAAGCGUAAUAGCUCACUGGUCGAGUCGGCCUGCGCGGAAGAUGUAACGGGGCUAAACCAUGCACCGAAGCUGCGGCAGCGACGCUGAUGCGUUGUUGGGUAGGGGAGCGUUCUGUAAGCCUGCGAAGGUGUGCUGUGAGGCAUGCUGGAGGUAUCAGAAGUGCGAAUGCUGACAUAAGUAACGAUAAAGCGGGUGAAAAGCCCGCUCGCCGGAAGACCAAGGGUUCCUGUCCAACGUUAAUCGGGGCAGGGUGAGUCGACCCCUAAGGCGAGGCCGAAAGGCGUAGUCGAUGGGAAACAGGUUAAUAUUCCUGUACUUGGUGUUACUGCGAAGGGGGGACGGAGAAGGCUAUGUUGGCCGGGCGACGGUUGUCCCGGUUUAAGCGUGUAGGCUGGUUUUCCAGGCAAAUCCGGAAAAUCAAGGCUGAGGCGUGAUGACGAGGCACUACGGUGCUGAAGCAACAAAUGCCCUGCUUCCAGGAAAAGCCUCUAAGCAUCAGGUAACAUCAAAUCGUACCCCAAACCGACACAGGUGGUCAGGUAGAGAAUACCAAGGCGCUUGAGAGAACUCGGGUGAAGGAACUAGGCAAAAUGGUGCCGUAACUUCGGGAGAAGGCACGCUGAUAUGUAGGUGAAGUCCCUUGCGGAUGGAGCUGAAAUCAGUCGAAGAUACCAGCUGGCUGCAACUGUUUAUUAAAAACACAGCACUGUGCAAACACGAAAGUGGACGUAUACGGUGUGACGCCUGCCCGGUGCCGGAAGGUUAAUUGAUGGGGUCAGCGCAAGCGAAGCUCUUGAUCGAAGCCCCGGUAAACGGCGGCCGUAACUAUAACGGUCCUAAGGUAGCGAAAUUCCUUGUCGGGUAAGUUCCGACCUGCACGAAUGGCGUAAUGAUGGCCAGGCUGUCUCCACCCGAGACUCAGUGAAAUUGAACUCGCUGUGAAGAUGCAGUGUACCCGCGGCAAGACGGAAAGACCCCGUGAACCUUUACUAUAGCUUGACACUGAACAUUGAGCCUUGAUGUGUAGGAUAGGUGGGAGGCUUUGAAGUGUGGACGCCAGUCUGCAUGGAGCCGACCUUGAAAUACCACCCUUUAAUGUUUGAUGUUCUAACGUUGACCCGUAAUCCGGGUUGCGGACAGUGUCUGGUGGGUAGUUUGACUGGGGCGGUCUCCUCCUAAAGAGUAACGGAGGAGCACGAAGGUUGGCUAAUCCUGGUCGGACAUCAGGAGGUUAGUGCAAUGGCAUAAGCCAGCUUGACUGCGAGCGUGACGGCGCGAGCAGGUGCGAAAGCAGGUCAUAGUGAUCCGGUGGUUCUGAAUGGAAGGGCCAUCGCUCAACGGAUAAAAGGUACUCCGGGGAUAACAGGCUGAUACCGCCCAAGAGUUCAUAUCGACGGCGGUGUUUGGCACCUCGAUGUCGGCUCAUCACAUCCUGGGGCUGAAGUAGGUCCCAAGGGUAUGGCUGUUCGCCAUUUAAAGUGGUACGCGAGCUGGGUUUAGAACGUCGUGAGACAGUUCGGUCCCUAUCUGCCGUGGGCGCUGGAGAACUGAGGGGGGCUGCUCCUAGUACGAGAGGACCGGAGUGGACGCAUCACUGGUGUUCGGGUUGUCAUGCCAAUGGCACUGCCCGGUAGCUAAAUGCGGAAGAGAUAAGUGCUGAAAGCAUCUAAGCACGAAACUUGCCCCGAGAUGAGUUCUCCCUGAC